Non-coding RNA from Canis lupus familiaris (dog), 46 nucleotides. The record is from Rfam. NCBI's taxonomy places the organism in Eukaryota, Metazoa, Chordata, Mammalia, Carnivora, Canidae.
CCAAAGGCUCUUUUCAGAGCCACUACGUUGUCACUAAUCGAGCUGG